Long non-coding RNA from Zingiber officinale, 594 nucleotides. RefSeq lists it as uncharacterized. NCBI's taxonomy places the organism in Eukaryota, Viridiplantae, Streptophyta, Magnoliopsida, Zingiberales, Zingiberaceae. The record is from RefSeq and is a predicted model, not a curated record. The transcript has 3 exons.
UUCUUACUCUCCCACGCGGCGACCUAAACUGCUCCAUCGAAUGCGAUCGGCGAGGCGAUUUCAUGGCGGAUUGUUUCUAUGCUCGAUCUUUGAACUGGAAGAAUAGGUAUUUACCCUUCCUUUGCCCUAUAUAUUAUCCAAUCGACCGAUCUAACAGCAUUCAUCUUCCGGUGAUGCAUUGCGAAACGGAUCUCGCCUCCUGCAAGAAUCCCUAUGAAACGCUCGUUGAACCCUCCCGAGAUGAGGUGCUCGUCAAAUGCGGUCGUGAAGCCACGAUAGGCAACUAUCCCUGCUUCGUGAUGAAUCUUCUUGGCUCCACCUGCAUCUGGUUGUUGAGUUUGUUGAGGUGAAGAUGAAUGAGUUGAAAGGGGUGGACAGGGUCCUUAGGGAAGAGUUUUUAUUCUUUCUUGCUUGUUCAAGAGCAGUGGAAGAAGAGGGCAAGGACUAAAAAUGGAUUAAGCCAGAACAAGAGCAACACGAAAGCAUCAGGGGUGAGCUUCUAAAAUCAAUUACUUUUAUCAAAUAAUUUAUUAGUUUGAUUUGGAUUUACAAUUUAAAGCAAAAACACAUAGGGUUUUUUUGAACUUUAUUUCA